CUACGUGCCAGCAGCCGCGGUAAUACGGAAGGUCCAGGCGUUAUCCGGAUUUAUUGGGUUUAAAGGGAGUGUAGGCGGUCUGUUAAGCGUGUUGUGAAAUUUAGGUGCUCAACAUCUACCUUGCAGCGCGAACUGGCGGACUUGAGUGCACGCAACGUAUGCGGAAUUCAUGGUGUAGCGGUGAAAUGCUUAGAUAUCAUGACGAACUCCGAUUGCGAAGGCAGCGUACGGGAGUGUUACUGACGCUUAAGCUCGAAGGUGCGGGUAUCGAACAGGAUUAGAUACCCUGGUAGUCCGCACGGUAAACGAUGGAUGCCCGCUGUUAGCGCCUGGCGUUAGCGGCUAAGCGAAAGCAUUAAGCAUCCCACCUGGGGAGUACGCCGGCAACGGUGAAACUCAAAGGAAUUGACGGGGGCCCGCACAAGCGGAGGAACAUGUGGUUUAAUUCGAUGAUACGCGAGGAACCUUACCCGGGCUUGAAC
Molecule: ribosomal RNA, 482 nt
Filed under: uncultured bacterium
Lineage: Bacteria
Description: bacterial SSU rRNA
Rfam family: Bacterial small subunit ribosomal RNA
Source: RNAcentral